RNAcentral lists this long non-coding RNA (5374 nucleotides) under Homo sapiens (human). RNAcentral's name for it is "long non-coding RNA NONHSAT186087.1". Lineage: Eukaryota; Metazoa; Chordata; Mammalia; Primates; Hominidae. The record is from RNAcentral.
CCCCUCCCAUGUUUGUUCACAGAUUCAGCAAUUUGUCUUUUACUUUGGAGGUAAUGGCCAGUGGACUCCUAAAUAUUUCACUGUACUAGCAGGUCCUGAGUCUUUGUAGAGUUCAUCUUCCACCCUUUGGAGCAUGUAUCUAACCAAGGCUUCUAGCAUACUGGCCACCUCUUCCUCUUUUGUCCAGUCAUCAUGAUUUUAUUGAUGUGAUGAAUCAGGGUGGUGUUCUGAGGGACUCAUAGGUGAUUCAGACCUUUUCAGACAAAAUUAUGGCAAAGGGUAAGAGUGUUACCAUAGCCCCAAGACAAAAUCGGAGAUCAAUAUUAUUGUCUAUUUCAUCUGAAUUCAAACCUUUUCUGAUCUUCUUUCCUAAUUGGAAUGGAAAAGAAUAUGUUGUCCAAAUCAAUGGCUAAAAACUAGGUACCUGAAGUUUUAUUAAUCUGCUUAGCACAGUAUCACAUCUGGCACAGUAACUAUAAUCAUCAGGUUUACUACUUGAUUAAGUCUGUAAUAGUACACAGUUAUUCUCCAGGACCCAGCUGGUUUCUGCACGGACCACAUUGGUCAUCAUGAGUGAAGUCUUGAGCCACUGAGCCACUACCACCUUGUGCCAAAUACUAUCUGUGCCCUGCCUGCCAACCAGGAUGACAACCCUUCACCUGCCAGGUGGAGAGAGACAGCAGCAGGCUAACUAGUUGUCUGUUAAGAACAUCCAGAGCAGGACCAGAAUCUGGGCCAGGAACUGAGAGACAGAUUGGGACAACGGAACAAAUCUACCAGGGUAUGCUGGCCAACUUAGUCUUCUAUUAUGAUCAAGGAAGGAUGGCGCCUGAGAGGUCAUUACUAUGUGACUGGUCUUCAUAUAUUGCUUCUAUGUUUGAUUCUUCCUCCAGAAAUGUUUCAAUAGCAAACUCAAUGAGUUUACGUAGCCAGAAUCUUAGUCAAUAACCUACUCUGCAGUAUCUUAGGGCUGACUUUGUACAUAUGGAAGUCAGCCAGAUCUCAUGAGUGGAUCAUUAAGCUAGAAUUAUUUUCUUGGCACACGUUACAGUAAGGUAAUAUAUGACCUAGGCCUAAGGCAGGCCAUCAACCUGUCAAGAGUAAUGACCCCCAGGGGUAAGGCCUUGCUGUCUCCACCUCAAGGAUGGGUCUUCAAAGUGGAGACAAUAUAGUCCCUAUGGUUUCUACAUGCUUAAUGAGUCUGUUAUGUGAAUUAUAAAGAUAAUAUCUAUGGGGACUUUGAGCUCCUACAAUAAAAAUGUAUAAAUAUAAUCCAAGAAAUUCUGGUAGACAAACAUUGUAAUAAUGCAUAUCAGUCUUUGUAUCUCCAUUUAGUUUUUUUAAAACUUGGCUUGUGUCCAGAAGUAUGCACAGAUAUACAUAGCAAAUGCUCAGUGCUGAAUGUUUAGCUAAAUCCUGUGCUUCAAAGCAAGGAUGAAUAGAUUUUCAUCAGAGCUCAGGACCUGAACUGUAGGCUUCCCUCACAAUGAGAAGUAAAGCUAAGUAUAGGUGAAUCCUGAGUGGCACAUAUUCUAUGAGAGUUUUAUACAUAAUUUGAAUGAUUGAUAUGCUGCAUCUUUCAUUGAAAUGAUUGUCAACCAAUAUUAUUUCAAGUGUUAUUUCCAUGCUAUUUCUAGUUCUGUAUGUUUUACGUAAUUAUAAAUGGCUUCAUAUUUUCAUGUAACAUUGUAUGAUAUGAUUUGGGUUCUAACAGGUUAUCCUUGACACCAGUAUAGAAUACCCAGAAUUAAUUUAAGGUAUAUUAUCAAACCACUAAAAUUAGGAUGUCCAUGAAUUCUGAAGGAGAAAAUAUCAUUUAGAUUGUGUGUGUGUGUGUGUGUGUGUGCGCGUGUGUGUGUGUCCUCUAAGUUUUAAACAUGAGGUGGUUAUAUAAAGGGGACUUCUAAAUUGGGAGAGGAUGAAAAUGGGCUAAAUAUUUCAAACAAACUUCAGUGUGAAAUCAGUAGUAUAUUCAGUAGAGGUGACAGGGAAAAAAGCUGUGGAGGAGAAAAGAGAACAAGAAAAUCAGGAAGCAGUAAAAAUGAUGACUGAGGUCAGGUGGUAAUGGUAACAUCAAGAAACUUGAAUCUGAUGGAAAAAAACCACGGGUAGCUAUAAAAGGGGCAUUCGAAAUAGGAAAUGAUGUGAGAGGAGAAGAUAAUUUUAGUAUAGUUAAAGGAGGUAGCAGCUAUAGGUGUGAAGAGAACGGAUUAAUUUUAAAUGUGUCCCAGAAGUAAGAGAAAUAUUUUUUUGAGGAGUGGGGGAGGAACAAUGAGAUAAACCUGGUUGAGUGUUUUAUGGUUAUCUCAAGUAAGAGUCCACUUGGAGUAUUAUGUCCAUUUUUGGACACCAUACUUUCAUAGGCAUGUUGAUGAACCAGGUCAUUCAAGACACCAGGGUAGUGAGAAGUGUGUUAAUAGUGCUUCUACCAGAGAGUUAGAGUGACAUGGCAGCUGUCCUCAUAUCUAUCGAUCUGUCAUAAGGAAGAAAGAUCACAUGCCUCUGCAUUGUUUAAAAGAAAGAAACAGACCCAAAGAAAGUCAGGAGGCAGAUUUUGCUCAAUAUAAUGAUCUAACAAUUAGAUGUGCCCUGUAACAGAGUGCGCUAUUGUAAAGUAAUGUUCUCCCAUCUUUCCAAGUAUUCAAGCAGAGAAUAGUCAAUAAUACAACUAACGACUGGAAGGGUUUCUUUUAUUCUAAGGUACUAUCAGAUGGAGGAACAUGUAGUUUGUGGUCAGUGACCUCAGGUUCUCACAUUCACGGUGCUGCAUCCUGGUUUUCAUUUGGGGACUGUUUUCUGGCACUCCCGCCUGUCUGGAGGUGAGAUAUGCUUGUUAUGACAACCCUUCUGUCACAAUAAAUUGGCUGGUGCAUUCAGUGUCAUCUAUGGCUUUUUACUUCUAUUAAUUCAUUAAUUCCGGGCCCCCAAGCGAAAGUUUCCAAAGGCCUUUUUUCUUCUUUGUUAAUUAUAACAUGAUAUCAAUCAGCACCCAAGCAGAAACUAGAAGAGUAUUCAAACUAGGUAAUUUGAGGAGAGUUUAAUAAAGCAACAGCUUACAAAGAUGUGGACAGUGGCUUAAGGAAGCCACUAAAGGAUGGCACAGUCCUCCAGGCUUGUGAUCAGGGGAGUCAUUACCAUCCCCCAGCCUGAAGAUCAAGAGGCUGGAGCUAUUUCCAGACCCUGAAGAGGGUGGUUGUAUGGAGAGGACUAUCUGAAAGAAGAGGCUGUAGCCAACACAAGAAAGCCAGGGAAUAAAUAAUCCAUCCUCACUCUCCUGCUGUUGCCUCUCAAUGGCCAAACCCAACCAUGAGCUGGGCAUGAAGGGAGCUAGCUGACAGCUAUAUGGCUCAGCUUCCUGGGGCCCAGAGCAGAGUGGAGCUGAGAAGAGAGUGAAUCUGGAGGGGUUAAUGGAAGAAACCACAGAAAGCAAAUUCCUCCCUGAGAUACAGUUGGUGCUUAGGCAAUAUUUGUACUGACAGGAAUGUGGCCACAUAUUUUGGAAAAGCUCAGGGACUCAAUCCUCUGCUAGCUGCUUUGAGGCCAUGUCUGCCGAAGUCACUGUCCUCUACAGGGUUUUUUCCUCAUGUUCAGUGUUUAGUCCUUUCCACCUUCACGAAAACGAUGCCUACUUAAUAUACAGAAAGGAGGACAUACAGAAAUUUUUCAUCUUAAUUGGAUAUUACAGUUGCCCCACUUUGGAGCCAAGAAGAGCUGAAUAAAGCUGAGAAACACCUAAACAGAAAGAAAAUAGCUGCUGCCCCACUCCUGUGCCAAAAUCUGCUCCAAGGGAUCCUAUCCUAGUCAGAAGGCUGUACUCUGAAUGCUGAUAUUAGCUACAACACCAAGGCUUCCCACUAUACAAACUGGAUCCUCAAAGUCAUCCACACCAAAUGAACUCUCUAUUCUUUCUCCCAGUAGCCUGAGAACUGGGUUUACCAGCCUUGGCCCUUCCUUUCCUUCUAGCCUCAAAACAGGAUGGGAACAGAGUCUUUGGCUGUGAGAAUGGGCUCAAUAACAAAAUAAAGAUGACAGAAGAGUCAGUGACUUCAAUGACAGAGCGAUAGAAAUUACCAAUAUAAACGGAGAGAAAAGAGAUUUUUUAAAAAUGAACAAAUCCCCAAGGACCUGUGAGACAAUAACUGUGUUAGGUUUUCUAAACUUACAAGUGUUUUUAUUUAUAUAUGGUAAGCAACUAUGCAUUAUUUGUGUCAGAAUUAUUUUUUGUAUAUAUUUAAGGUAUACAACAUGAUGUCUCAACAUACUUAUAUGUAGUGAAAUGGUUACUACAGUCACCACACUUAUUGUCUCACAGGUUAUUGUCUUCAGAAGGAGAGUAAAAAGAAUGCUGGGUAGAAGAAAUACCUGAAGAAAUAAUGGCCCAACCUCAAAUUUGGUGAAAGACAUAAACUUACAGAUUCAAGAAACUGAGUGUUCCCCAAACAGAAUAAACUUUAAAGAAUCCACACUCAAACACAUCAUAAUCAAACUUCUGAAAACUAACAACAAAGAAAAACUUAAAAUCAGCAAGAGAGAAACCACACAUUAUCAACUGAUGAAAAGUGACUCAAGUGACAGCAGAUUUAUAAUCAGAAACUUGAAGGACAGAAGGAAGAGGCAAAACAUUUUGAAAGCCCUAAAAGGAAAGAACUGUCAACCCAGAAUUCGACAUCCAGUAAAAAUAUCCGUCAAGAAUGAAUAUGAAGGAAAGCUAAGAAUGAAUAUAUCUUCUAUUUCUUUGCUAAAUUUUUCUACUUUUUCAUUUGAUGUAAGAGUGUUUAUAAGUGCUUAUGGAGCAUUUUUAUGAUAGUUGGUUUACAAUCCUUGUCUGAGAGUAGCUAUGUGAGAUGACGUAUAUAGUAAAUGGUGACUGUAGUAACCAUUUCACUACAUAUAAGUAUGUCAAAACAUGUUGUACACCUUAAAUAUACACAAAAAAUAGCUCUGACACAAAAAAUGCAUAGUUGUUAUUACCAUGUAUAAAUAAAAAUACUUGUAAGUUUAGAAAAUAAAAUCAUUGUCUGAUAAUUAUCUAAAUAAUAAAGUCCAUCUGUGUCAUCUUGGUGUUGGCAUCUAUUGAUCAUUUUUCAUUUGACUUGAAGUUUUCCUGAUAUGGUGAGUCAUUUUUGACUGUAUCCUGGACUUCUGGGUAUUAUAAGACUCUAGCUCCUAUUUGGAACUCGUAUUUUAUAAAGUAGUUAACUCUGUCUGUUCAGAAUGCACAUCCUAGCUGACUUUUGUGGGCUGUGAUUCAAAUGUUAAUUUAGUUUAUAAAACUUCUUCUACAGUGCCAUUCUGUAGGGGUUUAUAGUAGACAAAAUAAUUCCCCUCAGCCUAGAGUUCUAUACAUCUUAAUCCCUAGAACCUAAGAAUCUGU